Molecule: long non-coding RNA, 208 nt
Organism: Octopus sinensis (East Asian common octopus)
Lineage: Eukaryota; Metazoa; Mollusca; Cephalopoda; Octopoda; Octopodidae
Exons: 3
Source: RefSeq, a predicted model, not a curated record
AGGGGGAGAAAGAGAUGAAGUCAUGGAUUGUGGAGAACACAGUCUGUUGGUAGCUAGGCGUGGGGUUGGAGGGUAGAGGGCAGUAGAAGGAGGUGUCUUGAAGUUGGCGGAAAGCUUCAGCCUUGUAGAGGUCUGCGCCCCACACCACCACGGCUCCACCCUUGUCGACCGGUUUUAUGAUAAUAUCUUUGUGGCAUCUGAGACAUCU